AUAUGACUCCGAAAUAUUGAUGGAUCAUCGGCUGUCACUUUCUUCCAGACGAUACUGAUUCCAUUGGAAGCUCGGAAGAGACCAAGCCCGAAAUUCAAAAUCCGCUUCUUCGCAUGGAUAUGAAAUAUUCCUGCAAGUUUCGCUUCACGUAAGGAGGAUGUUCUCGCCUUAAAU
This is a long non-coding RNA of Cryptotermes secundus, 174 nucleotides long. RefSeq lists it as uncharacterized. The record is from RefSeq and is a predicted model, not a curated record. Lineage: Eukaryota; Metazoa; Arthropoda; Insecta; Blattodea; Kalotermitidae. The transcript has 3 exons.